Molecule: ribosomal RNA, 253 nt
Filed under: uncultured bacterium
Lineage: Bacteria
Also listed under: 2 other names
Description: partial 16S ribosomal RNA
Rfam family: Bacterial small subunit ribosomal RNA
Source: RNAcentral
UACGAAGGGGGCUAGCGUUGCUCGGAAUUACUGGGCGUAAAGGGCGCGUAGGCGGACAGUUAAGUUGGGGGUGAAAGCCCGGGGCUCAACCUCGGAAUUGCCUUCAAUACUGGCUGUCUUGAGUGUGAGAGAGGUGUGUGGAACUCCGAGUGUAGAGGUGAAAUUCGUAGAUAUUCGGAAGAACACCAGUGGCGAAGGCGACACACUGGCUCACUACUGACGCUGAGGCGCGAAAGCGUGGGGAGCAAACAGG